This is a long non-coding RNA of Crotalus tigris (Tiger rattlesnake), 4768 nucleotides long. RefSeq lists it as uncharacterized. The record is from RefSeq and is a predicted model, not a curated record. NCBI's taxonomy places the organism in Eukaryota, Metazoa, Chordata, Lepidosauria, Squamata, Viperidae. The transcript is spliced from 4 exons.
UGGCCGUGCCAGGAAACAAAAGCUGCUAGAGAGCGGGAGAGUCGGCUUCCAGUUUUACCCCUAAUUGUUUUUGAGAUUUCAUAUGUAGAUAUAUAUAUAUAUAGUGCAAGUGGCAGUGAUGCGAGGAAGCUAUGCCUCCAGCUGGAGCAGCUGGCGACAGAUGCCCCUCCAUCACCCGUCUGCGCCAGCUGAAUGUAUAGCCCCGUGCUCAGCGGUAAAGUUGCCAGAAUAUUCAGAGAUAGGAGAACUUCUUCCCGCUUCCCCCCAUUUUCUUCUCAGACGACACAUAAAAGAUGCAACCCCCCCCCCAAAGUAUCCACUUGAUUUCUGUCAUGAUUUGACAACGCAUAGCAAAGUAAAUGGAAUUUAAAGUGGCAUACAUGCUCUGUGAAAGAGAUUGCACAGAUACUAGUUGGCUUAAACACAGAUUAUUCUCUCAGACCAUUGCAAAAUCUCUGUGAAGCAAUCCUGCCUGCCUGGAAUAAUAUGAGGGAUUUAAAAUAUCAUCAUCCUCAUCAUCCUCAUCCACCACCACCACCACCACCACCACAACAACAACAACAACAACAGGAACAACAACAUGAGAUGUCUUUCUAAUUCAAUUCAUUUUUGGAUACCAUAGCAACUGUGGAGUAGCUGAUGUUGAUGGGAAAUAUGCUCAGGAAAGGUGGAAAUUUGCUGUCUUUCUUGAGUUGCUCCAACUGAAAUAUGUAGCUUUUUUCUCUUGAAUGAGAGGUAAGUGCAAAUUCAGGUGUGCAAACGGCAUGGAAUCCAAAAGGAAAUCUGGUAUCAUUCAAUAGAAAUUAUAUGUUCAUAAGAUGGCUCUAUUAAGAAAUUACAAAUUAUUAUUUAUUAAUUUUUAUUUAAUUAUUAGUUUUUAUUAUUGCUAUUUAAAUAUUUGCCAGUUUAGUUCCAAAAAAGCUUUGUAAGGAAAUAGGUUCCAUUUAUUUGCAUAUAACAACAACAGUAUCAUAAUUCUACACCAGUAACAUAGCCAUUACUUUAUUUUUAUAACAGGUACAACAUAAAUACCAUUUCUAAAAGUGAUCUUGUGAGUGAAAAUAUAAUGUAAGAAAACUGGGUAUUAUUUUCUUCAUGUUCUUCCCCAACCUUUGUGACUUGGUGGUAUGACUAGAGGGGAGAGAGGGAAACCGGGCUGUAUGAGUGAUGGGUUGACACGCAUGCACAUGCACACACAACUCGACUACAACAUAGCUAUGUGUGUGUGUUGGCCUGCAGCCUGGUUGCAAAUAGGCCAUGGCCUGGUAGUGGGCUGUGGCCCAGGUGUUGGGGACUCCUGGUGUAGAUUAUGCAAUAUCUCAUGAAGAAUAUGAAUUUAAGAUUUGUAUUUUUCUGUUUAACUUAGGCACCGUGACUUACAAUGAAUCUUCAAAAACAGAUGAGCAAGAUACUUGUGGAAGAGCAAGUAGUAAGAAGAAAGCCCAGCACUGCAAAAUCACACAAAAUACUCUCCUAGCAAAGGUUCAGGAUGAAAAGGGCAGUUUCUGUUCCAAACUUAAAUUUGAAAUUCAAGUGAAAUGGAUCUAGAAAAUAAUUUUCAUCCAAGAAUGAUGGAAUUGGUGAGUGACAACCUGCUUAAACAUUUGUUUCUGGAGGGAAUGCCCAACCGGCCUAUUUGUUCUGGCCUGAUUUUUGGGCCAGGGAAGAUGGUAAAGGAUUGGUGAAGAGCAUGGCAGCGACCAAUAUCUUCUCUUGUUCUGUGGUAGAGCCGAGAAGAUGAUGUGUCACCAAAGACCUCAUUGGCUAUCUCGAUGGAUGGUAUCUACGCUGCUAUUCUCUGGCAUUGAAACAGGGAUCCAGUACUUGUAUUUGCAGCCCAAAAGCAGUUCUGUCUUCUAGGUUGGAACUUUCUCCCUUCACCCCAAAGAAUGACAUUUUUACAGGUGCCAGAAUGACUUUCUCCUCAAGGAAGAAUUUAUAAAUGCCUGAGCAGAACUAGGCAAUUCCUCUGCAGUAUAACAAAUUAAGACAGACGAAGUUCAAGUAAGCAGAUGGCUGUCUGAAUCUCUCCAACUAAUCUGUGUGAUCAUCCCAGUCCCUGUGAUUGUUAUAAACCAUUCUAAUAGUUAAGCAGGAUAAAAAUUGAGGGGUAUGUUGAUAUACCCUUGUAUUUAAUUACAUUAAACCUUGUGUGUUACUUUAACAAACUUCAAUCUUUUACAUGGGAGGGAUUUAGUGAGGCUUAAUUUUUAGUACAUCUGCACAGAAUAGCAGUUGCCAGUCAUCCAGUUUGAAGAGAUCUCUUCAGUGCCUUUGGCAGUCUGCCUUGGUUCUCAUCAGAAAUCUUGGCUCCCUCACUGUUCACUCUUAAUUUUAGAAUUUAAUUUACACAAUUGAAGAUAUCCUUGGGAAUUCCAUUUCUUCCUGAUUGUUAUCUUAUGUGUCAAUGUACUCCCAUUAUUAGUGAUUUAUUUGGUGAACCACACUUAAACAAACCACGGGCUAGUGUGAUAUGGUAGGCAUUAACUGCUUGGUUUUCUGAAAACAUUUUUAUAAUGUCCUUUCACCAAUAACUCCAGUGUAAACCUAGAAAAAACUAGAUAAGAGGAUGUAGAGCAAAGACAUCAUUAAAAAGCUUUUUUAAAAAAUCCAAAUAUAUGUUGUGGGUUCAUACACACCAGGACAUGAUUUCUUGGACAUGGUUCCCUGAAAAACACAAUUAGCUUAAUUGACAUGGUAGACUGAUACACUGUUUACACAUCAUGUUAUCUAACUUAAAAAGCCAUACUAAACUAGCCAUAUUAGCAAAUUUUGGAAUCCCAGACAAGAUGAACCAAACUAGAUAUAUUUUGUUUCUUUAUAUUUUCUAAAAAAAAAAAAAAAAGUCCUGUGAGACAAAUAAGUCUUCAUUUUUCAAAACAAAACAAUUUUUUCAUCCAACCUAUUUCAGAACUUUAUUAAUAAUGCUUUUCAUCAAUAUACCAGAAUAUACAAUAUACAGAACAACUGUGUGUGUGUUUUUUAAAAUAUAUCUCUCCCUUGGCUUUUCUUAAAAAAAUCAAAUCAGUAUUGUAAUGGCUACUUUCCAAUUCUCACACAAAGGUGCCAAUUUCAUGGCUAAGAUGCAUAUUUCUGUUAGAAGUUCAGCAGUUUCAAAUUAAUUUAAGAAUGUUUAGGUGGAUGUCAUACAGAUUUCAUGAAUAGUUAUUUUUUAAAUUUUGUUUUUAUGAAUUAGUCAAUAUUUUCUAUAUCUGUUUCAGAGUUGGUUCAGCUGCAGUACAGCUUCCUCCAUAGCCAAUUUCCUGCUUCUAAUGUAUUUUUUAAAAAUAAUAACUUACUGCUAUUGUUACUGCUUUUUGCAAUAUGUCUCAAUACAUUUUUUACCUGCCUUAUUAUCAAUUUAUAUUUAUUUUGCUGGAGUGUGUAUUCAAUGUUCUUUUUCUGAUUUGGACAAUUUCUGAAGGAACUCUUUUUGAAGCUGGUUGUUUUCCUGCUGACAUUUUCUUUCCUAAUCUAAUGUACAUUCUAAAUAGUUGAGCUUUUAUUGUAAUAUUAAACUUUUUCCUCGUUUGUCCGUUUUUUAAAAUUUUUUUAAAAUUAAUCCCGUAAUACUUUAAAACCAUUUUCUUUUGAAGUCAGUUAUGACUUGUCAGAUGUUAUUGCCAGUAUUCCAAAAAAACACAUAUAUGUUAUUCCAACCACUUUAUUCAUUUGUUUGCUUGCUCAUUCUUUCAUUUCAUUCCAUUUAUAUUCUGCCACAAUCAAUAAGAUUCUUGGUAAUUUACAAAAUUACCAAGGCAAAAUCUAAAAUAUUACCCCACUAAGUUAUAUAGAAAAAAAGUCCACAAUGAAUUCCUCAGAAUAAUAAAAUCAUGAUGAGUAAUCACUUUCACAAAUGAAAAAAAAUGUGAAAUAAAUGAAUGAAAAUGUAAUCACGUUCAUUAUACUCAUUCAUGUUAACUCUACAACAGGCAUUGAUAGUGUCAUUUUCAACUGCAAAUAUUCUGCAGGAGAAUUCAGUUUUUAACAUUUUUUUCUAAAUGAAACCAGGAAGGGAGGCACUCUGAUUUCAACCAGAAGAUAAAAUAGUGGAGAUAUUUAAAAUAUUUAGAAAUGUUGCCAUUGUUAUGACAUAAAUAUGCAUUUGCCCGAUCUAUGUGAGACUAACUCAAGUCACUUAUUUUUCUGAGAUUUCCUCCUUUGGAUGUCUUCCUAUUCCUGAAUUUCAAGAUCAGACUCAACAUUUUGCUGAUGGAGAAAACAGUACCGUUAAAUCACUAGCAAUCUGCAUGCCUAAAAUCAUUUACCAUUAAAACUAAUGCUAAAUUUCCUGUUUUGAUAUGGUUUUUGAAAGUUACUAUGUCUUGCUUGUGUCACUGUUGCACUAGAAAGCUACGAUAGUGAUUCUUUGACCCUAUAAGCAGCACAAACAGUAUAUGGUGUUUGUGUGCUAAAAAUUGUCUGAAAGCAAGCAAUGAAAUUCAAUAAGGUCUCCUUAUGAUCAGUAUUUGGAUGGGAAAGUACCUGAACUAUUCUAAGCUUAUUAGAGAGAAUCUAAUAAUAACAAAUGUAUGAUUAUACAAUAGAUAUAGCUGCACCCACCCACCCACUCACAUGUUCAACAAUCACUGAAUGCAAACUACGGCCUAUGUAGAUUGUAUAACAUUUUACAAUUCAGGGAACAUGUCAAGGAUUUGAUGUUUAAACAUGCUCAAAGAAGGAAGUCCUGGACUUUGCAGGAUGAUAGAAAAUCUGUAAUACUUUGCCUAUUGAGUUGGCUGUCUACACAAUGCAAAAGUCUUUUAAU